ACCUGGCCGAUCUCAAACUCCUGGCCUCAAGCGAUCCUCCCAUCUCAGCCUCCCAAUGUGCUAGGAUUGCAGGUGUGAGUCAUCGCACCUGGCCUCUUAAUGUAGAUGAUUUUUUAAAAUGAAGAUUUUUUUCAUAGUAAGAAAAGGGAAACCAUAAUUCCAGACCACAGAGAAGGACUUCUUUAAUAUAUUUAACCUCUUUAUUUACAGAUCACUUCUUUCUAGAGAGACUAAAAUUAGGGCAGAGAAACCUAAAUCCUACAUACAAAGAGCUGCUGCCCAUUCAAAAUAAUAAUAAUAAUUAUAAGUGACAGUAAAGCAUCUCCCCACAUAAUCCUGUAUAUCAGUAAGAAAAUAUGUUUUGAGAUUCACAAAACUCAAUUUACGAAUCUCUGGUUGUAGUUAUUUGACUUAAUAUAUAAGACACUUACCAGAGGAGAUGGUUGCAAACAGAUUUGAUGACAGGUAAAUUUUUCUAAAGGUCUGCUAACUUCUUAUUCAGUCAUGGCCAACCACUGAUACAAUGCUGAGAGUUGCUUUCUCCUUUCCCCUCUACUAGCUUGGGGUCCACAGACCAAAAAAAUCUAUAACUUGCAAGGCUAAUAAAUGCAUGCUUCAGCUGCCUGGAAAUGCUGUUGGACUGGCAAUUUGCUGCCCCGCUCUAAUAGAGACUGCCUCAGAUCUGGUCUUUAACCUGGAUUAGCUGGAUAAAGAGAAUCCUCUGGGAUCCUGUGUGCCAUCACCUGUUAGUGUGUUUGCUGUAUAAAUGUAACAUCCACUAACUUUGUCAGAUGAUGUCUGGCCUGGCUGCUGUGGCUGUGAUUGGAAUUGAAACAUACAGCUUGUUAUUAAGGUAGUGACUGGCUGUGGGGGACACCGACGUCUGUUGUUUUUCAUUGUUGAUCUAGUGAGUUAGAAUGCCUUUCCUGGGCUGUUAAUGUUAAAUAGUUCAGUCCUGUUAGUCGUUUUGUGAGAUCAUCUUUCUGUGUGAUUUGUGUGUAUUUCCUUGAUCUAGUGGGGUGCAGGGUCAGGGACUGAGGGGAAGGUAUAAUUGUUUACAGAAAAUGUGACAGGACAUGGAUUUGAAAUCAGAUAGGAAGUUAAGGAAUGCCGG
This 1114-nucleotide long non-coding RNA is filed under the name Homo sapiens (human). RNAcentral's name for it is "HSALNT0341477". Lineage: Eukaryota; Metazoa; Chordata; Mammalia; Primates; Hominidae. The record is from RNAcentral.